This 253-nucleotide ribosomal RNA is filed under the name uncultured bacterium. RNAcentral's name for it is "partial 16S ribosomal RNA". It matches the Rfam family "Bacterial small subunit ribosomal RNA", at positions 524 to 776 of the family's 1533-position model. The record is from RNAcentral.
UACGUAGGGUGCAAGCGUUGUCCGGAAUUAUUGGGCGUAAAGAGCUUGUAGGCGGUUUGUCGCGUCUGCUGUGAAAUUUCGGGGCUCAACCCCGAACUUGCAGUGGGUACGGGCAGACUAGAGUGUGGUAGGGGAGACUGGAAUUCCUGGUGUAGCGGUGAAAUGCGUAGAUAUCGAGAGGAACACCUGCGGCGAAGGCGGGUUGCUGGGCUGAUACUGACGCUGAUGCGCGAAAGCCAGGGGAGCGAACGGG